GAUUCAAAUACAUAACCAGUGAGCGUUUAAAACUAUCGCCUUACUUUAGGCCGGUUCACAACGGCUUGUUAAUUUGAGCGGUACGGUUUUCGCGGGAAAUUCGAGCACGGCGCGGCGUCAUUACGUCUUGUCCGUAAACACAAAAGAAGCAGUCCCGCCAAUUCUACACUACAGCUGCAGAUUUUCAGAAGGUGUCUCUCAAGGAUGCUGAAAACCACACAAUGCAGUGGGACAGACAUUUACAGCCAAGAGUCACCCGCCGUGCCGAUAUGUCUACAAAUGCCUGAAAAGAGUACAAGCAUGUGUCUAAAAAGGGACCUGGUAAAGGUGCUCCGAGGGGAAACAGAGCAAGAAAGAGAGUUAGGAAAAGGGAGAGGGAGUCGAGAGUUUCCUCCCACGUACACACGCAGGAAGUCACUGCUGAGCUGAUACAAAGCGUCAUUACAGGGCUGACUUAUCCGUGCCGAGGUUUAAAGGCCAGUGACCAAAGACCACAAAAAAGGAUGAGAGAUCACUCCAAACAUCAAACAUCCUGGAAACACAGAGGGAGGAAGCAGUUUCAUUAGGCCAUGAAGAAUCCAGACCAAAACAAAACAAGCAAGAACAGUUUGUGCGUAUUUUUUCUGCGCACAGGAAUGUGUGUAGGCUGUUCCGUUUUUUUUCAAAUAGUGAUUACAUACAUCUUUGGGAAAGCACACUCGUGUUGGUUUGUAACUGAGAAAAGAACUUUGAAUGUGGAGGAUUUAUUGGAGUUUGAACUCCUAAGUUUGAGUGAGUAAUACAGAAGAACGUAGGAGAAAAGGAGGAGAGGGAAGAGAUGAGAGGAGGUUACCCGUAAUAACAACCCUGCAAAUGCUAAAAAGAGAGAGGCUGUGUUCUAAACAGUGUACUGUGCAGUAUAUAGUGCAUUUUAAGUGUAGUGUGUGAAAACCAAUGCAUUACGCAAAGCAUUUUUAAAAAGAGAUGCAAUUUGCUCAUGUUAAAAUUACACCUUUGAAAGCAAAAACGAUCGUCUUUGAAAAUUAUGAAAUGCUAUUAUUCGUAAUGUAAUCAUUAAUAUUUGAUGUUAUACAACCUUAGGAUGUCGAUCGCGUUUACACACUACGUCUGAAACAUU
Long non-coding RNA from Puntigrus tetrazona (Sumatra barb), 1117 nucleotides. RefSeq lists it as uncharacterized. The transcript is spliced from 5 exons. The record is from RefSeq and is a predicted model, not a curated record. Lineage: Eukaryota; Metazoa; Chordata; Actinopteri; Cypriniformes; Cyprinidae.